UGGACACCAGAAAAAAUCGCAAUACUUUUUAUUCGAAAUGCAUUUUUUACGAAUCAUUAUCGUAGUUAUCGUUUCUGUGACAUUGCUGCAGAUCAACGCUUAUGGUGGCCUAUUCGCUUCAAAAACAAUACAAACUUGUAAAAAGGUGGUAGGAAGGCUACCUCCUUUGUUUUUGGUGGGCAUUAGUAAUAAUGCCACAAAUAAUGGCAAGAUCAAAAGUCCCAUAAAAAUGCCUUAGAAGUGUUGCAAAGACAAUUUGAAAAAGAAUUGAAUAAAAAUUCAGACUGCCACAAAAUAUCACAUAUCUAUAAACAUAUAGUAAAUAUAUCAUUAUCAAAUCUAAUUCCGAGAGAAAGAUGGAGAGAGAGAUAGUUUUUAUUGAACUUUAAUCAACAGAUUGCCAUAUCAAACAUCAUGCACUUACACUGUGUUUAAACAUAUUCUAAGUAUCUUUACAACAAGUCUAUUGGAUUUCAAAAAACAAUGCAGUUUUGUAAUAUUAUCCUUUGCAUUGGACUCUUCGUCUGCUUUGUAGUGUGUAGUGUUCAAAGCAUCCUGCCUCUUCCUCCAAAUGAUCCAAGGAUAUCCAAUUGUGGACCUGUCUGCAAUCUACCUAAACCUAAAAUUGGCGGUCCUCCUUUAAAACAUAAAGGACGCAGAUUGUGAAGUGUUAAUCAUUUAUUAUGUGCUUUUCCUUUUUUCCCAAAGUUAAUAAUAUAUCUAUAAAGUUUUAAAAGAAA
This is a long non-coding RNA of Stomoxys calcitrans (stable fly), 740 nucleotides long. RefSeq lists it as uncharacterized. Lineage: Eukaryota; Metazoa; Arthropoda; Insecta; Diptera; Muscidae. The transcript has 3 exons. The record is from RefSeq and is a predicted model, not a curated record.